UCUUGGUCCAUGAAUAUGAGUAGAAGUGA
Molecule: non-coding RNA, 29 nt
Filed under: Rattus norvegicus (Norway rat)
Lineage: Eukaryota; Metazoa; Chordata; Mammalia; Rodentia; Muridae
Source: RNAcentral